RNAcentral lists this ribosomal RNA (327 nucleotides) under uncultured eukaryote. Its description in RNAcentral is "partial 18S ribosomal RNA". It matches the Rfam family "Eukaryotic small subunit ribosomal RNA", at positions 1470 to 1796 of the family's 1831-position model. The record is from RNAcentral.
CCCUUAGAUGUUCUGGGCCGCACGCGUGCUACACUGACCGGCGCAACAAGCUUUUUUCCUUGGCUCGACAGGCCUGGGUAAUCUUCGAACGCCGGUCGUGAUGGGGAUAGAUCCUUGCAAUUUUUGAUCUUCAACGAGGAAUUCCUAGUAAAUGCGAGUCAUCAUCUCGCGUUGAUUACGUCCCUGCCCUUUGUACACACCGCCCGUCGCACCUACCGAUUGAAUGGUCCGGUGAAGCCUCGGGAUUGUGGCUGGUUUCCUUUAUUGGAGGUCGGUCGCGAGAACUUGUCUAAACCUUAUCAUUUAGAGGAAGGUGAAGUCGUAACA